This 1330-nucleotide ribosomal RNA is filed under the name Bacillus tequilensis. RNAcentral's name for it is "bacterial SSU rRNA". It matches the Rfam family "Bacterial small subunit ribosomal RNA", at positions 34 to 1350 of the family's 1533-position model. Lineage: Bacteria; Bacillati; Bacillota; Bacilli; Caryophanales; Bacillaceae. The record is from RNAcentral.
CAUUGGCGGCGUGCUAUACAUGCAAGUCGAGCGGACAGAUGGGAGCUUGCUCCCUGAUGUUAGCGGCGGACGGGUGAGUAACACGUGGGUAACCUGCCUGUAAGACUGGGAUAACUCCGGGAAACCGGGGCUAAUACCGGAUGGUUGUUUGAACCGCAUGGUUCAAACAUAAAAGGUGGCUUCGGCUACCACUUACAGAUGGACCCGCGGCGCAUUAGCUAGUUGGUGAGGUAAUGGCUCACCAAGGCAACGAUGCGUAGCCGACCUGAGAGGGUGAUCGGCCACACUGGGACUGAGACACGGCCCAGACUCCUACGGGAGGCAGCAGUAGGGAAUCUUCCGCAAUGGACGAAAGUCUGACGGAGCAACGCCGCGUGAGUGAUGAAGGUUUUCGGAUCGUAAAGCUCUGUUGUUAGGGAAGAACAAGUACCGUUCGAAUAGGGCGGUACCUUGACGGUACCUAACCAGAAAGCCACGGCUAACUACGUGCCAGCAGCCGCGGUAAUACGUAGGUGGCAAGCGUUGUCCGGAAUUAUUGGGCGUAAAGGGCUCGCAGGCGGUUUCUUAAGUCUGAUGUGAAAGCCCCCGGCUCAACCGGGGAGGGUCAUUGGAAACUGGGGAACUUGAGUGCAGAAGAGGAGAGUGGAAUUCCACGUGUAGCGGUGAAAUGCGUAGAGAUGUGGAGGAACACCAGUGGCGAAGGCGACUCUCUGGUCUGUAACUGACGCUGAGGAGCGAAAGCGUGGGGAGCGAACAGGAUUAGAUACCCUGGUAGUCCACGCCGUAAACGAUGAGUGCUAAGUGUUAGGGGGUUUCCGCCCCUUAGUGCUGCAGCUAACGCAUUAAGCACUCCGCCUGGGGAGUACGGUCGCAAGACUGAAACUCAAAGGAAUUGACGGGGGCCCGCACAAGCGGUGGAGCAUGUGGUUUAAUUCGAAGCAACGCGAAGAACCUUACCAGGUCUUGACAUCCUCUGACAAUCCUAGAGAUAGGACGUCCCCUUCGGGGGCAGAGUGACAGGUGGUGCAUGGUUGUCGUCAGCUCGUGUCGUGAGAUGUUGGGUUAAGUCCCGCAACGAGCGCAACCCUUGAUCUUAGUUGCCAGCAUUCAGUUGGGCACUCUAAGGUGACUGCCGGUGACAAACCGGAGGAAGGUGGGGAUGACGUCAAAUCAUCAUGCCCCUUAUGACCUGGGCUACACACGUGCUACAAUGGACAGAACAAAGGGCAGCGAAACCGCGAGGUUAAGCCAAUCCCACAAAUCUGUUCUCAGUUCGGAUCGCAGUCUGCAACUCGACUGCGUGAAGCUGGAAUCGCAGUAAUCGCGGAAU